GUGAACGUAGCCGAGUGGCUCAGGCGGCGGGUCGUGGCCCCGUCUACGUCGGUUCGAUUCCGACCGUUCACCCCA
This 75-nucleotide transfer RNA is filed under the name Acidobacteriota bacterium. RNAcentral's name for it is "Acidobacteria bacterium (marine sediment metagenome) tRNA-His". It matches the Rfam family "tRNA". From Rfam's summary of the family: Transfer RNA (tRNA) molecules are approximately 80 nucleotides in length. The record is from RNAcentral. RNAcentral also lists the same sequence under 1 other name. Lineage: Bacteria; Pseudomonadati; Acidobacteriota.